CCUACGGGAGGCUGCAGUAGGGAAUCUUCCACAAUGGGCGAAAGCCUGAUGGAGCAACGCCGCGUGGGUGAAGAAGGUCUUCGGAUCGUAAAACCCUGUUGUUAGAGAAGAAAGAGCGUGAGAGUAACUGUUCACGUUUCGACGGUAUCUAACCAGAAAGCCACGGCUAACUACGUGCCAGCAGCCGCGGUAAUACGUAGGUGGCAAGCGUUAUCCGGAUUUAUUGGGCGUAAAGGGAGCGCAGUCGGUCUUUUAAGUCUGAUGUGAAAGUCUUCGGCUUAACCGGAGUAGUGCAUUGGAAACUGGGAGACUUGAGUGCAGAAGAGGUGAGUGGAACUCGAUGUGUAGCGGUGAAAUGCGUAGAUAUAUGGAAGAACACCAGUGGCGAAAGCGGCUCUCUGGUCUGUAACUGACGCUGAGGUUCGAAAGCGUGGGUAGCAAACAGGAUUAGAUGCCCUGGUAGUC
Molecule: ribosomal RNA, 465 nt
Filed under: uncultured bacterium
Lineage: Bacteria
Description: partial 16S ribosomal RNA
Rfam family: Bacterial small subunit ribosomal RNA
Source: RNAcentral